RNAcentral lists this ribosomal RNA (497 nucleotides) under uncultured bacterium. Its description in RNAcentral is "partial 16S ribosomal RNA". It matches the Rfam family "Bacterial small subunit ribosomal RNA", at positions 28 to 507 of the family's 1533-position model. The record is from RNAcentral.
GAUGAACGCUGGCGGCGUGCCUAAUACAUGCAAGUCGAGCGAACAGACGAGGAGCUUGCUCCUCUGACGUUAGCGGCGGACGGGUGAGUAACACGUGGAUAACCUACCUAUAAGACUGGGAUAACUUCGGGAAACCGGAGCUAAUACCGGAUAAUAUAUUGAACCGCAUGGUUCAAUAGUGAAAGACGGUUUUGCUGUAACUUAUAGAUGGAUCCGCGCCGCAUUAGCUAGUUGGUAAGGUAACGGCUUACCAAGGCGACGAUGCGUAGCCGACCUGAGAGGGUGAUCGGCCACCCUGGAACUGAGACACGGUCCAGACUACUACGGGAGGCAGCAGUAGGGAAUCUGCCGCAAUGGGCGAAAGCAUUGCGGAGCAACGCCGCGUGAGUGAUGAAGGUCUUCGGAUCGUAAAACUCUGUUAUUAGGGAAGAACAAAUGUGUAAGUAAAUAUGCACGUAUUGACGGUACCUAAUCAGAAAGCCACGGCUAACUACGUG